This 78-nucleotide transfer RNA is filed under the name Verrucomicrobiota bacterium. RNAcentral describes it as "tRNA-Pro". It matches the Rfam family "tRNA". From Rfam's summary of the family: Transfer RNA (tRNA) molecules are approximately 80 nucleotides in length. Their secondary structure includes four short double-helical elements and three loops (D, anti-codon, and T loops). The record is from RNAcentral. Lineage: Bacteria; Pseudomonadati; Verrucomicrobiota. RNAcentral also lists the same sequence under 1 other name.
CGGACCGUAGCGCAGCCUGGUUAGCGCGCCACACUGGGGGUGUGGAGGUCGGGAGUUCAAAUCUCCCCGGUCCGACCA